RNAcentral lists this ribosomal RNA (180 nucleotides) under uncultured Glomeromycotina. RNAcentral describes it as "partial small subunit ribosomal RNA". Lineage: Eukaryota; Fungi; Glomeromycota. The record is from RNAcentral.
AACCUGGUUGGGUGGUCUGCCUUCACGGUACGUACUGCUUGGCCGGGUUCUACCUCUUGGUGAGCCGGCAUGCCCUUUACUGGGUGUGUCGGGGAACCAGGACUUUUACCUUGAGAAAAUUAGAGUGUUUAAAGCAGGCAUAAGCUUGAAUACGUUAGCAUGGAAUAAUAGAAUAGGACU